AGGACGACGCUGGCGGCGUGCCUAAUACAUGCAAGUCGAACGGCUUUUCUAUGGAAGCUUGCUUCCACUGAGAAGAUAGUGGCGAACGGGUGAGUAACAACGUGGGUAACCUGCCCAUAAGAGGGGGAUAACAUCCGGAAACGGGUGCUAAUACCGCAUAGUUUUCUUGAUCGCAUGAUCGGGAAAGGAAAGACGGCCUUUGUGCUGUCGCUUAUGGAUGGACCCGCGGCGUAUUAGUUAGUUGGUGAGGUAAUGGCUCACCAAGACGAUGAUACGUAGCCGACCUGAGAGGGUGAUCGGCCACAUUGGGACUGAGACACGGCCCAAACUCCUACGGGAGGCAGCAGUAGGGAAUCUUCCGCAAUGGACGAAAGUCUGACGGAGCAACGCCGCGUGAGUGAAAGAAGGUUUUCGGAUCGUAAAACUCUGUUGUCAGAGAAGAACAAGUUGGAGAGUAACUGCUCCAGCCUUGACGGUAUCUGACCAGAAAGCCACGGCUAACUACGUGCCAGCCGCGGC
This 519-nucleotide ribosomal RNA is filed under the name uncultured bacterium. RNAcentral describes it as "bacterial SSU rRNA". It matches the Rfam family "Bacterial small subunit ribosomal RNA", at positions 32 to 518 of the family's 1533-position model. The record is from RNAcentral.